GCACUGCUGAGGAGUUCCACAAUAGGACGAAACGGCCGUCCAGCGC
Schistosoma margrebowiei is the source of this 46-nucleotide non-coding RNA. NCBI's taxonomy places the organism in Eukaryota, Metazoa, Platyhelminthes, Trematoda, Strigeidida, Schistosomatidae. The record is from Rfam.